GAUGAACGCGGCGGCGUGCUUAACACAUGCAAGUCGAACGAUAAAGCCCAGCUUGCUGGGUGGAUUAGUGGCGAACGGGUGAGUAACACGUGAGUAACCUGCCCUUGACUCUGGGAUAAGCCCGGGAAACUGGGUCUAAUACCGGAUAGGAGCGCCUGUCGCAUGACGGGUGUUGGAAAGAUUUUUCGGUCAUGGAUGGACUCGCGGCCUAUCAGCUUGUUGGUGAGGUAAUGGCUCACCAAGGCGACGACGGGUAGCCGGCCUGAGAGGGUGACCGGCCACACUGGGACUGAGACACGGCCCAGACUCCUACGGGAGGCAGCAGUGGGGAAUAUUGCACAAUGGGCGGAAGCCUGAUGCAGCGACGCCGCGUGAGGGAUGACGGCCUUCGGGUUGUAAACCUCUUUCAGUAGGGAAGAAGCGAAAGUGACGUACCUGCAGAGAGCC
Molecule: ribosomal RNA, 447 nt
Filed under: Micrococcus sp. oral taxon F54
Lineage: Bacteria; Bacillati; Actinomycetota; Actinomycetes; Micrococcales; Micrococcaceae
Description: bacterial SSU rRNA
Rfam family: Bacterial small subunit ribosomal RNA
Source: RNAcentral